RNAcentral lists this ribosomal RNA (192 nucleotides) under Anonconotus baracunensis. RNAcentral's name for it is "partial 28S ribosomal RNA". It matches the Rfam family "Eukaryotic large subunit ribosomal RNA", at positions 748 to 939 of the family's 3401-position model. The record is from RNAcentral. Lineage: Eukaryota; Metazoa; Arthropoda; Insecta; Orthoptera; Tettigoniidae.
AYAGGCUGCACYAUCGACCGAUCCAGAUGUCCUCGGAUGGAUUUGAGUAAGAGCAUAGCUGUUGGGACCCGAAAGAUGGUGAACUAUGCCUGRAYAGGGUGAAGCCAGAGGAAACUCUGGUGGAGGCUCGYAGCCGUUCUGACGUGCAAAUCGAUCGUCAGAUYUGGGUAUAGGGGCGAAAGACUAAUCGAA